GGGGAGAUGUAGCUUGCUACAUUUCCUAGCGGCGGACGGGUGAGUAAUGCUUAGGAAUCUGCCUAUUAGUGGGGGACAACAUUCCGAAAGGAAUGCUAAUACCGCAUACGCCCUACGGGGGAAAGCAGGGGAUCUUCGGACCUUGCGCUAAUAGAUGAGCCUAAGUCAGAUUAGCUAGUUGGUGGGGUAAAGGCCUACCAAGGCGACGAUCUGUAGCGGGUCUGAGAGGAUGAUCCGCCACACUGGGACUGAGACACGGCCCAGACUCCUACGGGAGGCAGCAGUGGGGAAUAUUGGACAAUGGGCGAAAGCCUGAUCCAGCCACGCCGCGUGUGUGAAGAAGGCCUUUUGGUUGUAAAGCACUUUAAGCGAGGAGGAGGCUACUUAGAUUAAUAUUCUAGGAUAGUGGACGUUACUCGCAGAAUAAGCACCGGCUAACUCUGUGCCAGCAGCCGCGGUAAUACAGAGGGUGCGAGCGUUAAUCGGAUUUACUGGGCGUAAAGCGUGCGUAGGCGGCUUCUUAAGUCGGAUGUGAAAUCCCUGAGCUUAACUUAGGAAUUGCAUUCGAUACUGGGAAGCUAGAGUAUGGGAGAGGAUGGUAGAAUUCCAGGUGUAGCGGUGAAAUGCGUAGAGAUCUGGAGGAAUACCGAUGGCGAAGGCAGCCAUCUGGCCUAAUACUGACGCUGAGGUACGAAAGCAUGGGGAGCAAACAGGAUUAGAUACCCUGGUAGUCCAUGCCGUAAACGAUGUCUACUAGCCGUUGGGGCCUUUGAGGCUUUAGUGGCGCAGCUAACGCGAUAAGUAGACCGCCUGGGGAGUACGGUCGCAAGACUAAAACUCAAAUGAAUUGACGGGGGCCCGCACAAGCGGUGGAGCAUGUGGUUUAAUUCGAUGCAACGCG
This 901-nucleotide ribosomal RNA is filed under the name uncultured bacterium. RNAcentral's name for it is "bacterial SSU rRNA". It matches the Rfam family "Bacterial small subunit ribosomal RNA", at positions 68 to 963 of the family's 1533-position model. The record is from RNAcentral.